ACUGAUCGGAUUGAGGUGAUCUUUACACCAAUUUAAAGCUAAGAAAGAGAUCUACAUUUGGUAUGAAAACAUCAAAGUCCAAUUCAGUCGUUUUCAUAGUCCAAAAGUUGAAAUACCGAAAUUCAACUCAGCUGUCCAAAGUGGAAAAUAGAGUUCUGACCAGUCUUUAGUAUUUUGGUCAUAUCUCAGGUUACAAAGCUCCGAUCUGGAUGAUUUUUAGAGCAUUGGAAAGCUAACUCAAAGGACUACAACUUUGGUGUUUUCCACAAAAGCCAAUUCAGCCUUUAUGAUAGAGAAAAUCGCAGUUGAAGUAAGGACAAAGUGAAUACGCGAGUACACAAAACGUGACUUGUAACCGCGUUUUGUGUAGGCGCGUUUUCUGGCCGCAAUUCUGCAAUUUGCUCAGUCAAUUCUCUUAUGUUCAAACUACUUUCCAGCUACAAUCUGCAAGAGAAUUCGAUGCACAUGCCUCAGAAGACAAGAGAGCAAUAAAGAUGGCUUAUUUUCAAGUCAAAAACAUUUGUUAUUGACUAUCUUAACAAUUUCAGAUUUGAGAAUCCUUAGAGCAGCAAAUUUGGACUAGAGAGGAGCUUUUCAUCAGCUUAUAUGCAGAGACAUUUGGGAGAUCUGAGGACAUUGGGAAUCAUACGGGGGAGAGAGCUUGAAGUGCAGAAUUGUAGUUCUUCCAUUUCCUUUGUGUAGUAUAGUUUAGCUAGUUAGUUCAUCCACUCUUGUAUAUUGCUAGAUUAGGAUGAAGAUUGAGAUGAAGAAGGAGGAGUUGAAGCUCAUGUGACAAGGGUUAUCUCUUCUCCAAUUCUUUAUCGUUUGUACUUGAUUCCAAAUUUAGUUAAUAUGUAAUUUCUGGAUUUUAUGUUAUUUAUGUGUCUUUAAAGUUUAUACCUUGGGUUUGGUUGAA
This 916-nucleotide long non-coding RNA is filed under the name Coffea arabica (coffee). RNAcentral's name for it is "long non-coding RNA (CARA_LNC003525)". The record is from RNAcentral. Lineage: Eukaryota; Viridiplantae; Streptophyta; Magnoliopsida; Gentianales; Rubiaceae.